UCCUACGGGGGGCAGCAGUGAGGGAUAUUGGUCAAUGGGGGAAACCCUGAACCAGCAACGCCGCGUGAGGGAAGACGGUUUUCGGAUUGUAAACCUCUGUCCUCUGUGAAGAUAAUGACGGUAGCAGAGGAGGAAGCUCCGGCUAACUACGUGCCAGCAGCCGCGGUAAUACGUAUGGUGCAAGCGUUAUCCGGAUUUACUGGGUGUAAAGGGAGCGUAGGCGGCGCGUUAAGUCUGAUGUGAAAACCCGAGGCUCAACCACGGGAGUGCAUUGGAAAUGGGCGGGGUGGAGUGCCGGAGAGGGA
This 305-nucleotide ribosomal RNA is filed under the name uncultured bacterium. Its description in RNAcentral is "bacterial SSU rRNA". It matches the Rfam family "Bacterial small subunit ribosomal RNA", at positions 337 to 659 of the family's 1533-position model. The record is from RNAcentral.